CACUGCCAAGGCCGGCCUCUGCGGUGCGUAGGCGUGAAGACAGGCCACGCAUCCCGAGGGGUCAGCAGGUCAAAGGGGCAAGUGGGGAAGCCGGGAGUCGGCUGGCUCGGCUGGAAUCCGGGGUGCAUGCAGAGGUAAUGGCUUGAUUCAAAAUUCACCAAGACAACUCUCCUCAUCUGCGCGUACCUGAAGGCCGAUAAACCUUGCAGAGCAGAGAGCGUUUGCUUUCUUUUUAAAAUGAACACAGCGUGGUUUUGAAGAUAAGGCUGGUGUUUAGGAAAUGGCAGAGGCCUUCCUCCACUUACAUAAGAAAGACAUGCACCACAUUUUUCCUGAAUCUGACUCUGCCGCAUGGACCUGGAAUCUACAAAGUUCCAUACCACCAAACAAGGGACAGCUGAAAAUCCUGGUGUGUGACAGGCCUCCGACAACUGGAUAAUGAAAGUCUUUUCGCACACAGCACGGU
Panthera uncia (snow leopard) is the source of this 466-nucleotide long non-coding RNA. RefSeq lists it as uncharacterized. NCBI's taxonomy places the organism in Eukaryota, Metazoa, Chordata, Mammalia, Carnivora, Felidae. The transcript has 3 exons. The record is from RefSeq and is a predicted model, not a curated record.